Molecule: ribosomal RNA, 253 nt
Filed under: uncultured bacterium
Lineage: Bacteria
Description: partial 16S ribosomal RNA
Rfam family: Bacterial small subunit ribosomal RNA
Source: RNAcentral
GACGUAGGAUGCGAGCGUUAUUCGGAUUUAUUGGGCGUAAAGCGUGCGUAGGCGGCUGUUUAAGUCUGGUGUUAAAGCUAGGGGCUCAACCCCUGUGGUGCAUCGGAUACUGGGCAGCUUGAGUGCGGUAGGGGAAGGUGGAAUUCCGAGUGUAGCGGUGAAAUGCGUAGAUAUUCGGAAGAACACCAGUGGCGAAGGCGACUUACUGGACGAUUGUUGACGCUGAGGUGCGAAAGCGUGGGGAGCAAACAGG